Molecule: ribosomal RNA, 330 nt
Filed under: uncultured Chloroflexota bacterium
Lineage: Bacteria; Bacillati; Chloroflexota
Description: bacterial SSU rRNA
Rfam family: Bacterial small subunit ribosomal RNA
Source: RNAcentral
GAUGAACGCUGGCGGCGUGCCUAAUACAUGCAAGUCGAACGAGGUGCUUUUGUAGCAAUACGAGAGUAUCCUAGUGGCGAACGGGUGAGUAACGCGUUGGUGACCUACCCCAAAGUGUGGGAUAACAGUCCGAAAGGACUGCUAAUACCGCAUGUGGUUAUUGGAUUUAGAAACUAGUAACUAAAGGAGCAAUUCGCUUUGGGAGGGACCUGCGUCCCAUCAGCUAGUUGGUGAGGUAAUGGCUCACCAAGGCGACGACGGGUAGGGGACCUGAGAGGGUGACCCCCCACAAUGGAACUGAAACACGGUCCAUACACCUACGGGAGGCAG